This is a non-coding RNA of Brassica napus (rape), 85 nucleotides long. NCBI's taxonomy places the organism in Eukaryota, Viridiplantae, Streptophyta, Magnoliopsida, Brassicales, Brassicaceae. The record is from Rfam.
UUAUGAAAGUGAUGAAAGUUGUAGAUAGGUGAUGAUCUUAUGAUCGAUAAAAAUUUCAACUCGCUACGUUCUUUCUGAUUCUUAC